GGCAAGGCGAGGAACAGGCUGUAAACACAGAUCCUGACACGCAGGGAUGUUACUCUUGGAGUAUGUGAAGACAGUUUGCUUUUUGACAAGCGAGCUAGCGGGCGCCCAGAUUUCUACAGCCUUUGGAGUCUCCCCGGAGGGAAAGAACAAACCUCGGACUGGGGAGCCACCCUGGAAGGGCUCUGCGUAGGGGAACCGCCCCACCCUUUGGCCCCAGACUCUCCUGCCUGGGGCUCCCCGCUUGGUGCUACUGAAGGAUUGCCUCAAGCUCUGAGGAUGAAGCUGGGGUUUAGGGUUCCGGAAACCUCUCUGAAUAACAACUGUGGGGGAGAAACAGACUCUGCCAACAUUUCUUCCCGGCCUCACAACGGAAAGGACUGUUUUCCUAAAGCUGUUGGC
This 399-nucleotide long non-coding RNA is filed under the name Rattus norvegicus (Norway rat). Its description in RNAcentral is "long non-coding RNA NONRATT032946". The record is from RNAcentral. Lineage: Eukaryota; Metazoa; Chordata; Mammalia; Rodentia; Muridae.